UACGAAGGGUGCAAGCGUUACUCGGAAUUACUGGGCGUAAAGCGUGCGUAGGUGGUUCGUUAAGUCUGUCGUGAAAGCCCCGGGCUCAACCUGGGAAUAGCGAUGGAUACUGGCGGGCUAGAGUGCGGUAGAGGAGAGUGGAAUUCCCGGUGUAGCAGUGAAAUGCGUAGAGAUCGGGAGGAACAUCAGUUGCGAAGGCGGCUCUCUGGACCAGCACUGACACUGAGGCACGAAGGCCAGGGGAGCAAACGGG
This 253-nucleotide ribosomal RNA is filed under the name uncultured bacterium. Its description in RNAcentral is "partial 16S ribosomal RNA". It matches the Rfam family "Bacterial small subunit ribosomal RNA", at positions 524 to 776 of the family's 1533-position model. The record is from RNAcentral.